RNAcentral lists this ribosomal RNA (457 nucleotides) under uncultured Gemmatimonas sp. RNAcentral describes it as "bacterial SSU rRNA". It matches the Rfam family "Bacterial small subunit ribosomal RNA", at positions 338 to 795 of the family's 1533-position model. The record is from RNAcentral. Lineage: Bacteria; Pseudomonadati; Gemmatimonadota; Gemmatimonadia; Gemmatimonadales; Gemmatimonadaceae.
CCUACGGGCGGCUGCAGUGGGGAAUAUUGCGCAAUGGACGAAAGUCUGACGCAGCGACGCCGCGUGUGGGAUGAAGCCUUUCGGGGCGUAAACCACUGUUGCCCGGGACGAAACUCCUUUUUCGAGAGGAUUGACGGUACCGGGUGAGGAAGCACCGGCUAACUCUGUGCCAGCAGCCGCGGUAAUACAGAGGGUGCGAGCGUUGUCCGGAAUCACUGGGCGUAAAGGGCGCGUAGGUGGCUGGGUAAGCGUGUGGUGAAAGUCCGGGGCUCAACCCCGGAUCUGCCGUGCGAACUGCCUAGCUCGAGCAAUGUAGAGGCAGGUGGAAUUUCGGGUGUAGCGGUGGAAUGCGUAGAUAUCCGAAAGAACACCAGUGGCGAAGGCGGCCUGCUGGGCAUUAGCUGACACUGAGGCGCGAAAGCGUGGGGAGCAAACAGGAUUAGAUACCCUGGUAGUC